Molecule: ribosomal RNA, 301 nt
Filed under: uncultured bacterium
Lineage: Bacteria
Description: partial 16S ribosomal RNA
Rfam family: Bacterial small subunit ribosomal RNA
Source: RNAcentral
CAGCAGCCGCGGGAACACGGAGGGGGCUAGCGUUGUUCGGAAUUACUGGGCGUAAAGCGCACGUAGGCGGCUUGGUAAGUUAGAGGUGAAAGCCUGGAGCUCAACUCCAGAAUUGCCUUUAAGACUGCCGAGCUAGCAGGUGAGAGAGGUAAGUGGAAUUCCGAGUGUAGAGGUGAAAUUCGUAGAUAUUCGGAAGAACACCAGUGGCGAAGGCGGCUUACUGGCUCAUACUGGACGCUGAGGUGCGAAAGCGUGGGGAGCAAACAGGAUUAGAUACCCGAGUAGUCCCUGUCUCUUAUAC